This 253-nucleotide ribosomal RNA is filed under the name uncultured bacterium. RNAcentral's name for it is "partial 16S ribosomal RNA". It matches the Rfam family "Bacterial small subunit ribosomal RNA", at positions 524 to 776 of the family's 1533-position model. The record is from RNAcentral.
UACGUAGGGUGCAAGCGUUGUCUGGAAUUAUUGGGCGUAAAGAGCUCGUAGGCGGUUUGUCGCGUCUGCUGUGAAAACUCGGGGCUUAACCCCGGGCCUGCAGUGGGUACGGGCAGACUAGAGUGCGGUAGGGGAGACUGGAAUUCCUGGUGUAGCGGUGAAAUGCGCAGAUAUCAGGAGGAACACCGGUGGCGAAGGCGGGUCUCUGGGCCGUAACUGACGCUGAGCUGCGAAAGCUAGGGGAGCAAACAGG